This 631-nucleotide ribosomal RNA is filed under the name uncultured bacterium. RNAcentral describes it as "bacterial SSU rRNA". It matches the Rfam family "Bacterial small subunit ribosomal RNA", at positions 60 to 687 of the family's 1533-position model. The record is from RNAcentral.
AGUCGAGCGGUACGCGGGAGCAAUCCUGGCGACGAGCGGCGAACGGGUGAGUAAUGCUUCGGAAUCUACCCACGGGUGGGGAAUAACCAAUCGAAAGGUUGGCUAAUACCGCAUACGUCCUACGGGGGAAAGCGGGGGAUCGUAAGACCUCGCGCCGGUGGAUGAGCCGAAGUCGGAUUAGCUAGUUGGUAGGGUAACGGCCUACCAAGGCGACGAUCCGUAGCUGGUCUGAGAGGACGACCUGCCACACUGGGACUGAGACACGGCCCAGACUCCUACGGGAGGCAGCAGUGGGGAAUAUUGGACAAUGGGGGAAACCCUGAUCCAGCGACGCCGCGUGUGUGAAGAAGGCCUGCGGGUUGUAAAGCACUUUUAGUGGGGAUGAAAAGCCUGGCGUUAACACCGUCGGGUCUUGACCUAACCUACAGAAAAAGCACCGGCUAACUCUGUGCCAGCAGCCGCGGUAAUACAGAGGGUGCGAGCGUUAAUCGGAAUUACUGGGCGUAAAGCGUGCGUAGACGGUCAUGCAAGUCGGAUGUGAAAGCCCCGGGCUCAACCUGGGAAUUGCAUUCGAGACUGUAUGGCUAGGGUGCGGAAGAGGGAAGCGGAAUUUCCGGUGUAGCGGUGAAAU